CAUUCUGCUGAAAGUCACCAGAUAAGAUGGUCACGCUGUAAACUGGAACACCUUUAGCUGAUUUGAAGUGGUUGGUUUGAAUUAAUUCAUCACCCUUACUUAUCAGACAGAGUAUUUUUUUAAAGAGAACUAUUUGAAGAUUGUGAAAUGACAUUUAAUUCACGGUUCUGAUGAAUGGCCAGCCCUGUGCGUCCCUGUGCGUCCCUGUGCGUCCAUGCAUUACAGGUUACAACGUGAGUUACGUCACAUGUCGUUUCAGGAGAAGACCCCCCCUAAAGGAAAGUCUGCACAGAUUCAACCCGACCUCCCAGAUAAGAUUAAAACAGGUCAGAGAGCUGAAUCAGCUGCACCAGGAGCUGAGAAGAUAUCCGGGCUCAACCAGGUUCAAGGACUCCUCAGGACGGCAGAUGCUGCCAUGCAUGGGCCUGAACUCCCGCCCUAACCCUCCCCGUGUGUUCCUGCUGUCCUAACUGUGAAUGCUUUUGUGCGAUGUCCUCGGGGAAAUAACGGCAGAGAGACGGCGGGAUGCAGCCUCUGGAAUCGGGUGUGAAAUUAACAGGAGGCACGUUAUUCCAGGGUGCUGCUUAACCAGUGUGAAAAACAGAUAGUGACAGCGAUAACAAAGACGGUAAUGAAAAAACCCUCUCAUCUCGUCUCUGCGGGCUCAACCCUCCAGCAGCUAUUUGUCACGGGCAGAUGUUCCAGGGAACCGUGACCUCUUCGUGCGGUUGCAGGGGAAUGGGAGCUCGGCGCCGGUUCUGAUUGGAAACCUGCAGAGGGGCGAGGGCACGGUCAAGGGUCAGCAUCAAAAGUGGUCCAAGGAAGGAGAACCAGUGGCGGACGGGCAACAAGGUCAUUGGUGGAGCUCAAGGUUCCCCAGAUCUCAAUCCAAUCCAGCAUCUGUGGGAUGAGCUGGACAACCAAGUCUGAUCCGUGGAGGACUUUAAGGAUCUGCAGAGUCCAUACUUGAUCAGGUAAGGGCUUAAAAUCGAUGCAUAGAAGUAGAGACGUGUGGACAGCUUCAUGCACGCUCUGUUCAGCCUCAUCCUGUUUUUUUCCACUCACUAUAAAAACAUGAACGAGUGUUUCUGUCUGAUGAC
Molecule: long non-coding RNA, 1100 nt
Organism: Notolabrus celidotus (New Zealand spotty)
Lineage: Eukaryota; Metazoa; Chordata; Actinopteri; Labriformes; Labridae
Exons: 6
Source: RefSeq, a predicted model, not a curated record